CAGGGGUAAAGUCUUGGGAUAUAGCUGUUCUCGCGGCUUCUCCGGUGUCUCAGCGGUAAACAAUCCGCCUGCCAACGCAGGAGGUGCAAGAGACUCAGGUUCAAUCCCUGGGUCGGGAAGAUCCCCUGGACGGAGGGCAUGGCAACCCACUCCAGUAUUCUUGCCUGGAAAAUUCCCUGGACAGAGGAGCCUGGAGGGCUACAGUCCAUGGAGUUGCAUAGAGUCAGACACGACUGAGUGCACACACACAGCGAUCACCAGGAUGAGGAGGAGACAAACUCUCAAGUGUUUUUAUUACUCUUGCCAGACAGUUGAACUCUUCGGAAGAACAAGAUGAUUAUUUCUUUUAAGGGCGCUUCCAGAAUUUACAAAGCUGGAAUUGUUCAUGUACCCAGCAGUGGAGCGGACAUACUUUGACUUGGCACCCGUUUCUAUCAGCUUCUACUGUCUGGGGUGUCCUGCCUGG
RNAcentral lists this long non-coding RNA (466 nucleotides) under Bos taurus (domestic cattle). Its description in RNAcentral is "long non-coding RNA NONBTAT028262". Lineage: Eukaryota; Metazoa; Chordata; Mammalia; Artiodactyla; Bovidae. The record is from RNAcentral.